CUGGACGCAACUCGGGCCAACACGCACAGGCAAAGCUAAAUUUGACUCGACCGAAUACAUAAAAAAUGCAGAAGUGGGGUUGAGUCAGAAUUCUACUCCUGCUCUGAAGAUCAGAUCGUCGCUAGCGGGUUGCCGUUGAGCUCACUAACCGCCUGGAUGCUGCGAUUCUACGGCUGAGGUCCGUGUAAACGUGCACCCCACAUGCCUGCGUGUGCUCACGCAGAUCAGGUCAGGUCCAGUCUUCCCGUUGCUUCCUGCCGUCACGCGGCAGCACAUGUGAGCUCAUGUUUCCCGAGUAACGACACGGACGACGUACUUUUUGGAAUUCCUACCUGCGAAUAAACAGCAUAAUGUAAUCCUGGACUACCUCUCUGAAAUGCCGCCCAUCCGUGUGACACCGCGUCAAUGAUUCCUAUGGCGUAGGACUGACCUUUUGACCUUUUAGCAUUAACGAGACCGUUCCUAAGACUGAGGGUGACCCCUGUCCUUCACAUCGCCUGACCUCUGGACUCACUGCCGGCGCUGGUGGUGACCGGGGUCAUUGGACGGCGACCAGAGGAGCUCUUAAUUCUGCAACGUAAUGCCAAAGAUUUCAGAAAAGAUGAAUCCCAACGUUUGCUGGCAGGAUACAGCAGCGCUCUCACGCGGUCCAUAGUGUUGGACUGUCCCUCAUUCCUGUUCUUGGGUCCUGCUCAAAGAGUACAGGACUCACAAUGGAGGAUAAGCAUCACUCUCCAGAAUGUCUUUCCACAAAUGAGUCCUUGUUGGCGGCUCUCUGGUCUUCGGCGGCAUCAGUCGUCGUCACAAAGAGCCUUUUGCUGGAUCCAAACUCCCUUUUCCUUUUCCUUUGAGCUUUUGUUUCCCCUCUGCUUCCUUAUCUCUGCAGUUGUCUCCCCCCUGUUUUCAGGGAUCACUGAUGCAAUCGCAUCCACUUAGGUGUCAUUAUUUUUGUUAACUCUCUUAUUCCCCGUGUGAUUAUCAGCGGCGGUUUAAUGAGGUGUUUGUUUGUUUGUUUGUAUGUGUUAGUGUGUGUAUGGGAGUCUCUGUGUGUUAAGAGGGGACUGCAGCUGCAGCUCCGAAAAAUCAAGUCCUUUCUUGAUCAAUGAGGGAUGGAUGCAG
Molecule: long non-coding RNA, 1119 nt
Organism: Gasterosteus aculeatus aculeatus (three-spined stickleback)
Lineage: Eukaryota; Metazoa; Chordata; Actinopteri; Perciformes; Gasterosteidae
Source: Ensembl